RNAcentral lists this unclassified non-coding RNA (348 nucleotides) under uncultured fungus. Its description in RNAcentral is "partial contains small subunit ribosomal RNA, internal transcribed spacer 1, and 5.8S ribosomal RNA". The stretch from base 1 to 127 matches the Rfam family "Eukaryotic small subunit ribosomal RNA", at positions 1759 to 1831 of the family's 1831-position model. The record is from RNAcentral. Lineage: Eukaryota; Fungi.
CCAAACUUGGUCAUUUAGAGGAAGUAAAAGUCGUAACAAGGUUUCCGUAGGUAUGUAGAGGAAAUCCCUCCCGUCUUGAUUUCUAGCUGCUAACAGUUUCUUAGGUGAACCUGCGGAAGGAUCAUUACCGAGUUGCUCCUGCUCUGCAGGAAACUCCCACCCUUGUUUACUGUCACUGUUGCUUGGCGAGACGCUACUUUGUGUCAAGCAGAGUAGCCACCGGCUUUGAAAGCGGGUGUGUGCUCGCCAAAGGUUUUUCACUCGAAUAUGUGCUGUCAGAGCAAGCGAGAAUUGAUAAAAACUUUCAACAACGGAUCUCUUGGUUUUGGCAUCGAUGAAGAACGCAGC